Molecule: unclassified non-coding RNA, 350 nt
Filed under: Bartonella sp.
Lineage: Bacteria; Pseudomonadati; Pseudomonadota; Alphaproteobacteria; Hyphomicrobiales; Bartonellaceae
Description: partial 16S-23S ribosomal RNA intergenic spacer
Rfam family: tRNA (bases 96-169)
Source: RNAcentral
AGUAAUGCCUCACACGGCUUUGAAAGAAAAGAGUUGAGGAAAUUUUUCCGCUUAAUGAAAUUAAGUUCGGAGAAGGUUUUCCGGUUUAUCCCGGAGGGCUUGUAGCUCAGUUGGUUAGAGCGCGCGCUUGAUAAGCGUGAGGUCGGAGGUUCAAGUCCUCCCAGGCCCACCAAUUUAUGUGUCAGUGUAUAAGCGCCUAUGAAUUUUUAGAUGAAGUGUGCUCAUAGAACUUUUAAGACUGUGAGGCUUCUCUAUUUUGCUUAAGUGAUCAAAAGUUGAAGUUUUAUCCUUUCUCCUGUUUUAGGGGCCGUAGCUCAGCUGGGAGAGCACCUGCUUUGCAAGCAGGGGGC